GCGCAUGCGAGUGCGGGAAANUNCCGGCGGUAUGGGAUGGGGUCGCGUCCUAUNNGCUUGACGGCGGGGUAACGGCCCACCGUGGCUUCGACGGGUAGCCGGCCUGAGAGGNNGACCGGCCACAUUGGGACUGAGAUACGGCCCNGACUCCUACGGGAGGCAGCAGUGGGGAAUAUUGCACAAUGGGCGAAAGCCUGAUGCAGCGACGCCGCGUGAGGGAUGGAGGCCUUCGGGUUGUAAACCUCUUUUAUCGGGGAGCAAGCGCAAGUGAGUUUACCCGUUGAAUAAGCACCGGCUAACUACGUGCCAGCAGCCGCGGUAAUACGUAGGGUGCAAGCGUUAUCCGGAUUUAUUGGGCGUAAAGGGCUCGUAGNCGGUUCGUCGCGUCUGGUGUGAAAGUCCAUCGCUUAACGGUGGAUCUGCGCCGGGUACGGGCGGGCUGGAGUGCGGCAGGGGAGACUGGAAUUCCCGGUGUAACGGUGGAAUGUGUAGAUAUCGGGAAGAACACCAAUGGCGAAGGCAGGUCUCUGGGCCGUUACUGACGCUGAGGAGCGAAAGCGUGGGGAGCGAACAGGAUUAGAUACCCUGGUAGUCCACGCCGUAANCGGUGGACGCUGGAUGUGGGGCCCUUUCCACGGGUUCCGUGUCGGAGCUAACGCGUUAAGCGUCCCGCCUGGGGAGUACGGCCGCAAGGCUAAAACUCAAAGAAAUUGACGGGGGCCCGCACAAGCGGCGGAGCAUGCGGAUUAAUUNNAUGCNNCGCGAANANCCUUACCUGGGCUUGACAUGUUCCNNNNGACC
This 801-nucleotide ribosomal RNA is filed under the name Bifidobacterium sp. Its description in RNAcentral is "partial 16S ribosomal RNA". It matches the Rfam family "Bacterial small subunit ribosomal RNA", at positions 186 to 1000 of the family's 1533-position model. The record is from RNAcentral. Lineage: Bacteria; Bacillati; Actinomycetota; Actinomycetes; Bifidobacteriales; Bifidobacteriaceae.